GAUGAACGCUGGCGGCGUGCCUAACACAUGCAAGUCGAACGGAGAUUACGGACGGAAGUUUUCGGAUGGAAGACUGUAAUUCUUAGUGGCGGACGGGUGAGUAACGCGUGGGCAACCUGCCCUAUACAGGGGGAUAGCAGCUGGAAACGGCUGGUAAGACCGCAUAAGUCGGUUAAAUCGCAUGAUUUGAUCGGGAAAUGAGCAAUCAGGUAUAGGAUGGGCCCGCGUCCGAUUAGCCAGUUGGCAGGGUAAAAGCCUACCAAAGCGACGAUCGGUAGCCGGACUGAGAGGUCGGACGGCCACAUUGGGACUGAGACACGGCCCAAACUCCUACGGGAGGCAGCAGUGGGGGAUACUGCACAAUGGAGGAAACUCUGAUGCAGCGACGCCGCGUGAGUGAAGAAGUAUUUCGGUAUGUAAAGCUCUAUCAGCAGGGAAGAUGAUGACGGUACCUGACUAAGAAGCCCCGGCUAACUACGUG
This 481-nucleotide ribosomal RNA is filed under the name uncultured bacterium. RNAcentral describes it as "partial 16S ribosomal RNA". It matches the Rfam family "Bacterial small subunit ribosomal RNA", at positions 28 to 507 of the family's 1533-position model. The record is from RNAcentral.